GCAGGAAGACCUCGUCCAAACUUCUACAAGCACCGGACCUCGCUACCGACUCUAACCGAACUUUGACCGACCAAUCUGGACCCCCUGGCAGGCCACAGUAACGGACAACACUGCUCCACUCCCUGCGGCGAUCCCUACGCAGCUCCAUUACUCCCUGACAGACCGUAUUAACGGCCAUGAUUCUGCUCCACUCCCUGCGGUGGAUCCUGUGCGAUUCCACCACCCUCAGAUGAGUCACGACAGCAGACGCCGCUCCACUCUCCGUAACUGAUCCCACGUGGCGAGCCACGGCGAUA
Molecule: long non-coding RNA, 296 nt
Filed under: Elaeis guineensis (African oil palm)
Lineage: Eukaryota; Viridiplantae; Streptophyta; Magnoliopsida; Arecales; Arecaceae
Description: long non-coding RNA (EGUI_LNC008689)
Source: RNAcentral